UAGGUAACUCACCUUGUAAGUCACCAGCUACCUCUUGCUCUACCAGUUGUACUUGCACAGCUGCGUUGGCAUCAACAUCAACGUUCUCUAUAGGUACAUGUUGAGUAUUAGUUUUCACUAUCAGAUCAAUAAUAUUGUUAAUAAAUUUAAAAUAUUAGUAAUAAUAAUUGGUGUGUAGUUUUCUUGUACCUGUUACAGUUUGAGGAUCGUUUCCAUUAAACCUGUUGAUGAGUCCAAUGCUAACAAUUAUCAGCAGCACCAACGCCAAAGCACCUGCUAGUCCAUAUGGAAAGGCUACAUUGCAAGUAAACAACAUCAACAUAGCAGUUCUAUUUCAUACUUCCAGUAGCAUAUUCAACAAAAAAAGAAAUGAUUUAAGAAUAAAGAAUAAUGCCCAUUUGGUCCUUUACCAACUUUUGAUAAAGACCAGAAUGUCCUUGCACAUGUGACUCACAUAUAAUCACCUGAAUUCAUUCAAUACAAAUCUUAUAAAUAACACAAAUAUCAAAGCAAUAACCUAGACGGAACACUUUUCUCUCUGACGAAAAUGAUUUCAAACAAAUCAACAUAAUAGUUUCAAACUUACAAUAAAACCAAUACUCUUCGAUAAUUUUAUCAUUGUAUUUCUAGAUCUAUGAUGGUAAGACCAAAAUGAGGUUUUAUUUCUCGAUUCUAUCAUGGGAAUAAACCUCCUUAUAAGUUCACUGUUCUAUGACAAGAUACUCUGCAUCAAAAGCCACUUAUCAUACUAAUAAAAAAUCAUCCACCAAAAUUAAUCUCCAACAAAUCUCAUCUUGCCCUCUAUAUUAUUUACAUGAUUCCUAAACAAAAUUUUAAAGUUCACCACUGUCCCCGCCGUGGCUGUUAUAUCCAAUUACAAUUAUGGAGGGGUGAGCGAAAUUUAACGAAUGGAUCAAAAAUACCUGUGAUAGAGCAUAGUUGGGCACGUUUAGCUUCUAGCAACAUGCGGAUAUGUAAGGAGCUUAAUUUCCCUAUCUAGAUCAAAUCUGAAGAAAACAAACACCACAUCUACAGCAACACCAUAGCUAGACAAGCAUAAGUGCACUAAGGUCCAUGCCACAUACACGAAGAAAUAGUCCUUGCUAGAUUAGUUGUCUCUUUUGCUCUAGAUCACAUUGAAGACAAACCAUCUACCCAUCUUUCCAGAGAUUCUGGAACCCCAAUUUCUCCAGCUCCUUGACUACAAAUUCAUUUCAUCUCAUACCCAAUACUCAAUAACAUGAAAUUCUUCCUUCUUGGCAUAAGAUUGCAAAGUAUUUAUUCCUUUACCCUCAACAUGUCACUGUGAUUUUAAUCUUUGUGUAGUUGCUAAUUAACUCCUACGCAAUUUUAUUUUUUUCUACUUAAUUCUAAGAAGGAGACAUGGUUCUUCGAAUGAGCUUGGAUCGUGGCAUGAAAACAAGUUCAAUGAGAAAGGUCAAUAUUUGUUUUUUGCAAAAUUGCAUUUUGCUUGGAUCAACUCAUACGUUAUGGACACGAGUAUAACCAGACAUGUGUUUGGCAUGUGAAAGGGUAAUUUUGCUAUUUUGAAGAAAAUGUCAGUACCAAAGGUUAAAAGGAAUUAUUUGGAAGGAUCGAAGGCUAAAUACUCCAAAAUUUAUGAAUCAAAAUCUAUAUGUUACCUUUGCUUUGCAUUUAAAAUCUUGGAACUAAACUUUUGAUGAAUCUAACACUUCCUUUUGGUUGUAGUCCAUAGGAAGACACUAGGAAUAUCAGAAUCACAACACAUAUGAACACUACUCUAGAGCCAUUGACCAAUAAUUGUUUUGCUCUACUAAGUCCGAAAAUAGUUUAUGGUUGGGGUUCCAUUUCAGGAUUGUAACGCCCCGGGAUUUCGUCCUCGCUCAUCCCGGUGCGUCGAGCACCAUACCGCUCACUAAUGUCAAUAUUGUCCCCCUUUAGUCACUGUGGAUAUCCAGCAGUAGAGGGUUUUGGAUCAGGGCCCACCCAUGUGGUUCACCCCAAAAGGCCUUAACAUUAGUUAGAGUAUGGUUAAGCUUUAUAUACUACCGAAACAACCACUUCCUUGGCAAUGUGGGACUAACACCAACUCAUGGGUGUUACAAUCUCACCACCUUAGAAAUAGAGCCGUCCUCGGCUCUGCAGUACACUCAGUACAGUCCCAAAAUCUCCGACGUUUCCUGCCAAGUGGGACAAGUACCUGGCGCUCCCUAGGCCUUUCCAGCGUACUUUCCCACCUGCAACAGGCGACCCGUCGUCGGUUCUGAUACCAACUAUCUGUAACACCCCAGGAUUUCGUCCUCGCUCAUCCCGGUGCGUCGAGCACCAUACCGCUCGCUAAUGUCAAUAUUAUCCCCCUUUAGUCACUGCGGAUAUCCAGCAGUAGAGGGUUUUGGAUCAGGGCCCACCCAUGUGGUUCACCCCAAAAGGCCUUGACAAGCUCUAUAUACUACCGAAACAACCACUUCCUUGGCAAUGUGGGACUAACACCAACUCAUGGGUGUUACCAGGAUUGACGAAAAAUUCAAUAAAAAGAAUGUAUGCACAUUGACCAUAGAAGAACCUAUGCUCUUGCGGACCCAACCUCGUAUGGGCAAUCCAAUACUGAACAACGCGACCAGGGGGGUCAAGACAAUCAUCCGCGGUGCAGAAGCAGUAUGGGCAGAAAUCUCAAGGUCAAGCCUCACAAACCGGAGAUAGGAGACAAGCACAGUUGCAUGCUAUUACCGAUAGAGAGCCCACUCCAGUGUGAAUGCCAGAGUCGUCAUCUCAGGGAUGAGUGUAUGUUGUUCCACGAGACCGUGAGGCAAAUGGGGCGCUAUUAGAAAGUACAUUCCUUGUUCACUUAAAACCAGCUAGAAUACUUUUUGAUCCUGGCGCUAGACGCUCUUUUAUAUCAUCAGAUUUUUUUACUUUGUCGGGUGUUAUACCUGAGAUUAUGACCAUCCUUUGGUAGUGAAGACACCAUUAGGUGAAUUUUCUGUAUUGGAUAAGAUGUGUAGAGAUCUAGUAAUUAGUAUAGAUGAAUAUGCGUUUCCAUUUGAUAUAAUAGUGCUUGUAAUGCAUGAUUUUGAUGUUAAUUUAGGCAUGGAGUGGAAUUCUGCAUUCCAUUUGAGAAUUGAUUGUUGUGCAAAGACAGUGAGUCGGACAUGAGCCGAUAGUGUUUGUGGCUACUAGAGGUAACACUUUAGCCGAAGCAUUUAUGGCACAUCUAGAAGAUGGCAUCCCUGGGGAUAGUCGGCUGGACAAAAUACCUAUUGUAGCAGACUUCAUAGAUGUCUUUCGGAUUUCCAGGUUUUACCUCCUCCCCGAGUGGUAGACUUCACAAUUGAGCUCCUUCCUGGCACUUCUCCAAUUGCUAGGGCACCCUAUCGUAUGGCUCCAAGUGAACUGAAAGAGCUAAAAUCUCAGAUUCAAGAAUCGCUAGAUCAUGGUUUCAUUUGUGAAAGUAAAACCGGAAAUCCCCAUGGGGAGCACCAGUACUUUUCGUCAAGAGAAGGAAUGAGUCACCUUGCCAUUGUAUUGACUACAGGGAGUUGAAUAAAGUCACAGCACGUAAUCGAUAUCCUUUGCCUAGAAUUGACGAUCUGUUCGAUCAAUUGAAGAGACCACAGCGGUUCUCCAAAAUCGACUUAUGGUCCAGUUACCAUCAGUUGAGGUGAGGCUGAUGUGCCUAAGACGACUUUCGUUACUCGUUACGAUUCUUACUAAUUUGUAGUGGUGCCUUCUGGCUUAAAUAAUGCCCCGGCAGUGUUUAUGAACCUUAUGACCGAGUUUUCAGACUGUACCAUGAUCAGUUUAUGAUCGUUUUUAUCGAUGAUAUAUUGAUCUGGAAGACCUGAGAAAGUGAGAAGAGCAUUAAGAUAACUUGCGAGCUGCACUUCAGACCUUGCGAGAACAUCAGCUUUAUGCCAAGUUCUCAAAAUGUGAAUUUUGGCUCUAAGAGGUAAAAUUCUUGGGUCAUGUUGUUUCUGCGAGUGGUAUAUCAGUUCAAACAUUCAAGCUGUUUUGAAUUGGAAGCCACCAACUAUAGUUGCAGAGGUCAGAAGUUUCUUGGGAUUGGCUGGGUACUAUAGACGUUUUAUCAGAAUUUUGCGCGUAUUGCAGCACCAAUGACAGCUGACACGUGAAGGUGUUCGGUUUGUUUGAACGGACAAAUGUCAACAAGCUUUUGACACAUUGAAGUCCAAAUUGACGAUGAGACACCAGUCUUGAUCACUCCUGAGAGUGGAGCUGGAUAUGUAAUUUACAUUGAUACUUCAAAUCAGGGAUUGGGCUGUGUUCUUAUGCAGUGGGAUAGGGUGGUACCUAUGCAUCUCGACAACUUAACGAUUCAUGAGCAGAACUACCCCACUCACGACCUAGAAUUGGCAGCUGUUGUGUUUGCUCUUAGACUGUGGAGACAUUAUAUCUUCAAUGAGAAGUUCGAGAUCUUCACUGAUCCUAAAAGUUUGAAAUAUAUUUUUCCCAGAAGGAUUUAAAUAUGAGGCAAAGGAGGUGGUUGAAGCUAACUCUCAUUAGAGUACCAUCCGGGGAAAGCAAAUGUUGUAGCUGAUGCUUUGAGCCGAAAAUCCUAUGCUACAGUUGUUCACUUGAGGACGUAUCGGUGGGAGACUGGUGGAGUCAAUUGUAGAUUCAAUAUUUGAAGAGCACACUGCGUAUUUGGGAACCAUCGGCAACCUAAUCUUGUGUCUAGUAAUAGAAGGCCAACGCGGCAAUGAGUGGGAGCAAACCAGAAUUUCAGAAUCUGCAAGCAAUGCUGAAUGUGAUCGGACAGUUGGAAAGGAGAGUGGAUUACGACUCAAAGGUCGUCUUGUGAUUCCUAAUGAGGCGGAGCUUCGAAAGGAGAUCAUAGAUGAGGCCAUCACAGUAAAUAUAGGUACAUCCCGGAAGUACGAAGAUGUAUAAAGAUUUGUGAAGGCAUUUUUGUUGGAAGAAAAUGAAGUAUGAUAUCGCUGACUAUGUAUCCAAAUGCCUUACAUGUCAACAAGUGAAAUCGGAACACCAAAAGCCAGUGGGUUACUGCAACCUUUGCCAGUCGGUGAGUGGAAGUGGGAACAUAUUAGCAUGGAUUUCGUAGAAGGGCUGACCAGAUCACAGAUUCACAGCGAGGUCACGACGCCAUCAGGGUUAUUGUAGAUCAUUUGACCAAGUCGGCACACUUCUUACCGAUAAAGAAGACUCAUAAUAUGAAUGUGCUUGCUACCUUGUACAAUAAAGAGAUAGUGUGACUUCAUGGUGUACCAGUUUCAAUUGUCUCUGACAGAGAUAGUCAGUAUACCUCGCAUUUUUAAAAGUGCUUAGGCUUACAGCACCACUCGAAAUUAGCACGUGUUUCAUCCAUAAACGGAUGGGGAGACUGAAAGAGUCAACCAGACUUUAGAGGAUAUGCACCGAGCAUGUGUCCUUGGUUUUAAAGGGAGUUGGAGAAAUCACCUACUGUUAACUGAGUUUGCAUAUAACGCAACAGUCAUCAGGCGACUAUCGGGAUGGCAUCGUUUGAAGCGCUAUACGGCAGACCUUGUAGAUCCCCCGUAUGUUAGGCCAAAACAGGUGAUGCUGCUCUUUUAGGACCAGACUUGGUACGUGAAACUACUGAAAAGGUCGCUUUAGUUCAAUAAAGUUUCCUAUUUUGACAUUGGUUUCUAUUUUUUGUUUCAAGUAUUGUUUAGAAGUCCAAGUAGUAGUAGAAUUUGAUUUCUAAAUUGUUAUUUUCGUUUUUUAUUAUUUGCUGCUUCUGGAACUAAAUGCAAUGGUCUUUAUUAUCUUUUUCCUACACAUGAAUUGAAUGAUACAAGUGUUGAUAGUACAUCUUAGUAAUAUUUCUCACAAGAGAAAAACUCUUACUGAUAACCUCACUUAUCUAUGGCAUCUUAGAUUGGGUCAUAUUAUUCUGAAUAGGAUUGAUAGAUUAGUAAAAGAUGGACUUUUGGGUUCAUUGGUUUUAGAACCAUACCCAACCUGUGAGUCUUGUUUAGAAGGGAAAAUAACCAAAAGGCCCUUUAAUUCUAAAGGACGAAGAGCAAAUUAUUAUUGGAACAGAUACAUACAGAUGUUUGUGGUCCAAUGAAUUUGAAAGCAAGAGGUAACUUUGAAUAUUUCAUCAUUUUCACAAAUGACUAUUCUAGGUAUAAAAAUGUGUAUUUGAUGCACAAGAAAUCUGAAGCCUUUGAAAAGUUUAAAAAAUUUAGAACAGAAGCUGAAAAGCAAACUGGGAAAUCCAUAAUGGGAUUUUGUCUCAAUUAAGUGCACCUAGAACUCCACAACGGAAUGGGGUUGCAGAGAGAAGAAAUAGAACUUUAUUAUAUAUAGUUCGUCUAUGAUGAGCUAUUCAACGCUCCCAACCUCCCUUUGGGGAUAUGCUUUAGAAACAACAAUGUAUGUUUUUAAUUUGGUUCCAUCUAAAUCAGUUCCUAAAACUCCUAGGGAGUUAUGGUCUGGGCGUAAGCCUAGUAUACAUCAUUUACAUGUAUGGGGUUCACCUGCAAAUGUAUUUAAAGGGAAAUCUGAUAAGAUGGAAUCAAGAACAAGCGUUUGUAUGUUUAUUGGAUAUCCCAAGGACACUCAUGGUGGACGCUUUUAUAAUCCAAGAGAGCAGACAGUGUUUAGCACUUUAGCACUAAUGUCAAGUAUCUCGAGGAAGAUUAUGUAAAUAGUCAGAAACCUAAAAGUUCCAUAGUCAUUGAAGAAAUGACUGGAGAAAACUCUGGCAUAGUUCAAUCUGAACAAGCUCCUAGUCUAGAUGCACAACUUCCAAGACCAACUACAAACAUACCUAAACCUACUCCAGUACUUCAUCGUAGUGGGAGAAGAAUCAAACCUCCAAAGAAGAUGAACCUUUUGGGUGAAAUCUUUCCUGUUGAUUCAGAUAACCAGGAUAAUGAUCCAGUAAACUAUGAUGAAGCAAUUUCUGACAUUGAUUCAGGAAAAUGGUUUGAAGCAAUGAAAUCAGAAAUAGAGUCAAUGGAUUCCAAUUAUGUCUGGGAACUUGUUGAUCCACUACAUAAUGUUAAAACAAUAGGUUCAAAGUGGAUUUACACGAGAAAAAGAGGACCUGAUGGUAAGGUUGAGACCUUUAAAGCAAGACUGGUGGCAAAGGGGUAUAAUACAAAAGAAGGUAUCGAUUACGAGGAUCAAGGACGAAGCUACAUGGGAAGAUAGUCGGGCACGUGCCCCACUCAAUUUUUGUAAAUAUUUUUACUGUGUAUGUAUACCGAUUGAAUUUUUCUUAUCAUUCUCUGCCCAUUUAACCAUAAGUGCCUCCUUAAUAUAUUUAGAACUUUGACUAUUUUACUUACGUGGUCAUUUUUCUUGUUCCAAUCAUGCAAUAGCCCAAUCAAAACAUCAUUUGUAGCUAUGUUCUCCAAUAGGAAUGUACUUUAAAAUGCAAAUAAUUACAGUUCUUAAUUGGAAAAAAUCGGUUUGGAUUUUUUAGGUUUAUCAUAAUAUUAGGGAAAUCAUAUUGACACCCGGUCUUUUACCAAGAGCUAUCCAAUAUCUUAAGUUCAGUCCACCCGAAAACUAAAGUAUAUUAUGGGCACCUAAGUGUUAAGAGCCAUCCAUAUCUUAAAUUAUUAGUUGUUGGAAAAUUCUUUUUCUUCUUUUUCUUUUCCAUUCACGUAAAUUCAAUCAAUAUAGAAAUUAAAUCUGGAUGAAAGGAAUUCAAAGCUUCAUAAUAAUUGAAUUGCAUGAGAUUAAGUGUCAUGAAACCAACUUUUACUACAUUUUCCAUGUGGAAUUUUGUUUGCUUUCUGAUAACAACAUUUUUUUUUUUGCCUAGUAAAACACAAAUUUUAUUAAGAAGGGUGUGAGAGGUUCACACUAGCCCAAAAUACAAGAAGAAACAGACUCAGUGUACAUGUAAGAUCACGUCCUCCUAUCUCAACAUAAAGUCAUCAAGCCUAACACCACUCAUACAAGGUCUAAAGUAAAUCCAAUUCCAUGCAAGCAUCUUGAUGUCAUUGAUGAGCUGCCCAAGGUCUCUGUUUACCCCUUCAAAGACUCUUCUGUUUCUUUCUUUCCAGAUUCCCAACAUAUAAUGUGAAACAACACCUUCCAGGUUAUUCUACCCACCCUUGACAGGUCACCGCACUUCCAAUUAUAGAAUAUAUGCAUUAGGCUUCCAUCAAUAUCAAUCUGACAGUUGAAUUCAUUAAUGAAAAAGUUCCACACUCCUCUACUCAUUCUACAAGAUCUGAAUAAAUGAUCAAUAGACUCGGCAUCAGCACAACAAAAGCUACAUCUAUUAACCAAGGGGACACCCCUCUUCUGCAAGUUAACAACUGUCAACACCUUACCCCAGGCCAACACCCACAUAAAGAAGCAGACUUUUGUAGGAACCUUGGGAUUCCAAACUUUAGUGGUAGGGAAACCGUAGAGAGCCAGAUGGUUAUGUCGUACCCUGGUAUCUUCCAAUCUUGCAUACACAGACUUUGCGGAAUAGUCACUAUCUUUAGUCUUUACCCAUCCAAACCCUUCUAUCAGGUUCAACACUUGUAGAAUGGUGUGAGAUUAAAUCAAUGAGCUGUGAGGCUUAAUUUAAUUCUCUAUCAAAGAACCUUCUCCUCAAAUGCAAAGUUCAAUAGCAUUUGCCACACUUGAAGGCACAGUCAACAAAGAUAAGUAGUAGAUAGGCAGGCUUGAGAAUGUUGACUUAAUGAGAAUGAUACGAUUACCAGCUGAUAAAUACCUGCGCCUCCACGUAGCUAAUCGUUUCCUGACUCUUUCCAAAACUUGUGCCCAAACACGUGUACCCUUAUAAGGAGCAGCAAGUGGCAGCCCCAAAUAAGUAGCUGGCAGGUUGCCCACCUGACUUCCAUUAAGUCUGCUAUGGAUGCAAGAUUAUCUCCCACAUUGACACCAUAAACAAUGCUCUUAGAGAAGUUAACACCAAGACCAUACACAACUUCAAACAAAUUGAAAGUUGCUUUCAGGUUUCUUAGUUGUUCAUAAUUCAUAUCAAUGAACACCAAUGUGUCAUCACUCAUCAGCAUACUGGAGAACUGGAAUUGCUUGGCUUCCAUCUGCAGUUCUAAAACCCACCAUCCUACCUCUGUCUUGUUGUUGCCAUUCUAGUUAAUGCUUCACUUACCAACACAAAAAGCAGGGGAGACAAUGGGUCCCCCUGCCGCAACCUAUCCGAGUUUUGAAAUACUCCUUCAGAGUGCAAUUCACCAAUAUAGACAGGAAGAGAUACAUGCAAAGAUCCAUUUGCGCUAUUUUUCCCCGAAGCCAAAUCUUUGCGAUAAAUAGUCAAGAAAGGACCAGUUGACACAAUCAAAAGUUUUUUUGAAAUCCAUUUUGCAGACAAUACCAGGCACACCACUUCUUUUCAUUGUGUCAAUGACCUCAUUGGCUAUCAAAACCCCAUCUAAUAUUUGUCUACCCUCCACAGCAACACCCUGGAAAUUACUGACAAGCUUAAGAAGAACAGCUUUUAAUCGAAUUGAGAGGACCUUAGCCAAAAUUUUGUACACCCCGCCUUACAAGCUUAUUCGCCUAAAGUUUGAGAUGGCCACUGAACCAGGGCAUUUAGGAAUCAGAGCUACAAAAGUGUUAUUCAAUCUCCAAUUGAUAAAAUUAUUAUCAUAGAGUUCCUUCACCACCCUCAUUAUAUCAUCUUUCAUGAAGUCCCAACAUAAACUGUAAAUAGCAAUAGGGUAACCAUCAGGGUCUGGGGAUUUAUCAGCAGCAAGACUAUUGAUGGCAGUUUUAACUUCUUCGCUACAUAAGUCUCUCUCCAACCAGCGAGCAUCAAUUUCCUGAAUGGUGUUAGCCUCCAUCAAAUUUUGGUCUGUGGUUAAACUCCUCGGCAUAAAGCUUCCCAUAGAACUCUACAAUAUGGCUUUCAAUAAGAGUCUGGUCCUACGUCGAAUGUUCACCCACCUUCAUCAAAAAAAAAAAAAAAAAUGGAAUUAUUGGUAUAUCUUGCAUUGGCCACUCUAUGAAGAUAACCAGUACACUUAUCUCCAUCUCGAUCAAACUUGGUUUUUGCUCUCGAACUCCAGAAUCUAUCCUUCAUAUUCAGAGCUUCAUUUAACUUUCUAGCACACUCCCCUUUUUCAUUAAGUUCCUCCUCAUUCAGGUCACAUAACUCCUCCUUUUGUUCAAAGAGAUCAAAGGCAGCUUGACAUUCUUUCACCUUGGUAUCAAACCUGCCAAUGUUAAACUUCUUCCAUUCCAAAAUUUUGAAUUUCAACAACUUCAAUUUCUUGAACAAUACGAAGCCUGGUUUACCCUGAAUACUUAUGUCACACCACCAUUGUUUCAUACUCUGUAAAAGGGUACUCUCUUCCAAUCACGUCAUCUCAAAUUUACAAUUUUUAUUUCAAAAACAUGGUGAGAAUCCAUAUUCUUUCUUGCAAAUCAACAUUGUAGAUAUGUUUAUAGUUUCUAAUUAAUUAAUUUAAUCAUUGUUGUACAAUACAAAAUUUGAACAAUUUUAAUCUCAAUUAACGUUAUUAAAAUGUUAAAACUCUCUAGGGUUAUCAAUUUGUAAAAAAUUUAACCAUUAGUGUUGUUUUGUUCUUUUUGUUGUUCUUUUUUUAAAGAAAGAAAAUAAAAAAAAUCUGGGUGGCUCUUUAGUAUAUUAGAGUAUUUGGGUGUGAUUAAUUUUUUCUGGUCUUUAUCUAAGAUGUUGGAUAGCUGUUUGUAGAACACCGAGUGUCAUAUAUUUUCCCUAAUAUUAACAACUAAUUAUUCACUAGGCAGUAGUGCAGUACAUAGUGCAUACAACAUUAUCUAUAACUAGUUCUUAACAUAGGUUUCAGAAUCAAAUUAUUACACAAGAUAUUAUAGCUAAAUUAUGAAAUUUUGUUAGAACAAUCAACAACAANNNNNNNNNNNNNNNNNNNNNNNNNNNNNNNNNNNNNNNNNNNNNNNNNNNNNNNNNNNNNNNNNNNNNNNNNNNNNNNNNNNNNNNNNNNNNNNNNNNNCCUGAUUGUUUGUAAUAAAAAUAAUUAUAACCAGAAAAAAAUAGUUGAAGUGUUUAAAAUCGAAAAAAGAAAAAAGAAAAAUCCUUCUAAUUUAAGUGUCCCACUAAGAAAAAUUUCCUGGCUCCAUCCCUGAUGAGGACACUUUCUCGCCAGUAGCCAUGCUCAAUUACAUUAAAAUUCUUCUUGGCAUUGCUGCUCAAUGUGAUUAUGAGAUACGGCAAAUGAAUGUAAAGACUGCAUUCUUGAAUGGUUUUCUCGAGGAGGACAUUUAUAUGAUCCAACCCGAAGGCUUUACAUACUCUGGACAGGAUACAGGAACAUAAAGUAUGCAAGCUUAAACGGGCCAUUUAUGGACUAAGACAAGCUUCAAGAAGUUGGAAUACACGUUUUGAUCAAGCAAUCAAAUCAUUUGGUUUUGAUCAAAGUGAAGAAGAACCUUGUGUUUACAAGAAGGGUGAAGGUAAAUCCAUUACUUUCCUGGUCUUAUAUGUGGAUGACAUAUCGCUCAUUGGGAAUGAUGCAGGAAUGUUGACCACAGUCAAAGUCUGGUUGUCUAAUCAUUUCAAUAUGAAAGAUUUUGGUGAUGCAAACUACAUCUCAGGGAUCAAGCUUUUGUGAGAUCGGAAAAAUAAGAUGAUAGGACUAUCUCAAGCUGCAUAUUGAGAAAUUGGUUUCCAAAUAGGCAAAUACUCACUGCAAAUUUCCAAAAAGGGUUUUCUACCCUUUCAGCCUGGGAAAAAUCUUUCCAAGGACUGCUGUCCUAUGACACUAAAGGAAAAGAAGAAAAUGCAGGGAACUCCUUAUGCUUCGGCUGUAGGAAGUCUUAUGUAUGCAAUGUUGUGUACAAGGCCUGACAUUUGUUAUGCAAUUGGAAUGGUGAGUAGAUUCCAAAGUGAUACAGGUCCAGAUCAAUGGACAGCAACCAAGAACAUUAUCAAGUAUUUGAGAAGAACAAAACAUUAUGCUUUGGUUUAUGGAAGUGAUGACUUAAGUCCUUUUGGUUACGGGGAUUUCGAUUUUCAAGUGGAUAUGGAAUUUAGGAAAUCCACCUCAGGAUAUUUCUUUACUCUUGGUGGUGAAGCCGUCGGUUGGAAAGUGUUAAACAACAAUGUAUUGCUGAUUUUACUACGGAAGCUGAAUAUGUAGCUACUAGUGAAGCGCCUAAAGAGGCAGUUUGGUUGAAGAAAUUUCUUUCUGAAUUAGGAGUUGUUCCAGAAGCAGAUAAGCUUAUCACUUUAUAUUGUGACAAUAGUGGUGCAGUGGCUCAAUCUACAGAACCAAGGUACCACAAGAGGUCCAAGCAUGUUGAAAGGAAGUAUCACUUGAUUCGACACAUAGUUCACAGAGGAGAUAUAGUUGUUACAAAGAUUGCUUCGGCUAAGAACUUGGCAGACCCUUUUACCAAAGCUUUACCCGCCAAGAGUUUAGACAGACAUAGAGACAACAUGGGUGUGAAAGUUAUCUCAAAUUGGAUUUGAGAACCAGUGGGAGAUUGUUGGGUUUUGGGUUGACAAUUCCAAUUUGUUAUGUUUGGAUAUUGAUUGUUAUUUCUGUGAAUAAAUUAUUACUUACUUCAUGCAUUAUAAUAUAUGGAUUAUAUAAAUAUAUAUUAACUCGUGAUGAAAGGUUCCAUAGGUAAUGAGAUUAGGAUUACCAAGUAUGUGAAGAGUACUCACACACGGGAGAUUUGGUCAUUCUAUUUUACCUUAAUAUUCGCAGUUAGGGGUGAAGUUGAUCACUUCACUUAUAUGACUGUAAUGUAUGUCACUACUAUAUGAUAGAGUGAUGGUAUCUCAAUCACUUGAGUAGUUGACUCUAGGUUCAUACAUUAGUGUAGUUAAUUGACUGACAUUGAAAGGGAUCAAUGUGAAUACACACUUGAAAUUCACUGUUAAGGUUAGUGUGUAAAUUCACUCUACUAAAUAUUCCUUUGACUUGAGGAAAUGCGACAAAUAACAAUGCUUGAAACUUGCCGUUUUGAGACAUUAUAAACGUGUUUUGGGCGACGAAUGUAGGAUAUUGUGGUAUUACAUAUUCCAAUAUAGGAUCUACCAACUCAUUGAGUUGAUAUUCUGCUAAUGAUAUUAUUAACUGGACAUAAGCCCAGCCGGUACAAGAAAUUGUUUCUUGGAGUUCAAUUUAUAAUUAAUUCACAAGGAGGCAUAAACAAUUAGCCAAAGGGCGUGCCAGUGAAGUUUUCUCUACAUAUUCCAAUAUAGGAUCUAACAAUUAACCAAGUUGGUUACCAUAAUCCCACGAUUUGGGUUAUAGUUUUCUCUAUAAAAGGAGACUAAAGCUUGACGAGAAAGACCAUUAGUUUCUCUCUAAGUAUUCUACCAAGGUGGUUUGUGAUUUAUGCUACUAAAAGAUUUAAGAAAUGAAACCAACAACAUUAUUAACAAGAUUCAACUAUUCAAUAACGAGGAUUCAGGUACGACUAUUAUAUCUUUGGCAAGAUUCAAAAUAAUAUACUCGUAAUUCGAUCAUGUUUAUUUAUAUACUUCAUGAUGCUUGUGUGAUCUGUGUGAUAAAGAAUAGGUUUUGUUCGUAAUCAAUAACCAACAAGUUUUACAUUAAAUUACAAAUUAGAAGAAUAUUAUAUUAUAUUAAAUUAAAUUAAAUACUUACAAAAACAAAAGCCGGUUCAAUCUGCCCAGUGUUGGAGGAAUAGUUCCAACCAACACAUUGUUAGACAAAUCGCUGAUAAGAAAAAAAAAACAAAAUCAUUAAAAUUAUGAACACAAAACAAAAAAAUCAUUCAAAUAUUUUUUUAUUUUUUUGAUAAAGCUGAGAUUCAAAUAUAUACAAGUUUAAAUAAUAAAACACAUGGCUUCAAGCUCUGAUAGAUUUCCAAUUCCUUGGGAAAUGGUCCACCCAAGUUGUUUGACUGCAUGUAUCUGAAAAAGGAUACAUUAACAUUGUGAUAUUAAUGGCUUUCUACUGGCUGUUAAAAAAUCCGUGAAUGCUCUAUAUUUCGCUGCUUUAUUCAAAUUUUGGGUCAUUGUGCUCUUUAUUUACAGUAAUUGGUCUGAUUAUUGUUAUUGUGAUGAUCUCUCAUUCUUGGUUCUGCCGCUUCCGACCUUUGUAUUUUGAUCGAUCAUCAUCCUCUAGUCGAGGGCAAACGUUACAUUCCACGGCUAUUGUUGCGGACCUUCCUUCUACUAGUGCACCUCCAUCUGCAUUUCAUGCUUCUCCAUCCACUUGGUUUAUAGAUUCAGGUACUUCAGAACAUAUGUCCGGUGAGUGUCAUUUGUUUCCUAAAAUUUCUUCUUCUUUGUCCCAUUCUUCAAAUGUUCGCCUAUUCAGAAUUCUGGCCAAGUACCUUUGUCUUCGUCCAUAUCUUUAACUUCUGGUUUACAUGUUCCUAAACUUGCUUUCUGUUAGUCGAUUGACAAAAUGCCUUAAUUGUUCAGUAGCAUUCUAUCCAUCUAAUUGUGUUAUCCAAGAUCUGAAUACGAAGAAGAUUUUUGGCAGGGUAUAUGAGAAAGCUGGACUUUAUAUCUUUGUGGACAUUGUCUCUACUUUAGCUACUACCACCCGUGUUUUCGGAUCCAGGACAUUUUACGUCCAGUCUUGAGACAUUGCAUCUAUACAAUGGGCGUGCGGGUCAUACCAAUUUCCAGCACCCAUGACAUUAACUUCUUGCAUUGAAAAGCUUUUGUAAGUCUAAAAAUUUUCAAUGUACUGUUUGUGAGCUUUUCAAACAUACUCGUAAUUCUUAUGUCCUUCGCAUGAAUAGAUGUGCUUCACUUUUAAUUCACACAGAUGUGUGGGGGCCUUCGCAUGUUACUUGUUUUGAUGGUUAUAGUUAUUUUAUCGAUUUUAUUGAUGAUUACUCUCAAUGUACUUGGCUUUACUUGUUGAAAUCUAGGACGGAAGUUCUUCUUACUUUAUUAAUUUUGUUAAGAUGAUCCAAACUCAGUUCAGUGUUACUAUUUGAUCUGAACGCUCAGAUAACAUUAAACAGUACAUCUCAACUAGUUUCAAACAACACCUCUUACCAUGGGAGUCAUACAACAGUUUACUUGUCCAUAUAGCCCUGAACAAAAUGGGGUGGCUGAAUGUAGAAAUCAAUAUCUUAUGAAUGUUGUUCGGUGUCUUCUUUGAGGCAUGCAUGUUCCGAAGCGUUUUUGGAGCAUGGUUGUCCUUACUAGCACUUGUUAAUCAAUUGGACACCUAGUGAAGCCUGACCUUCCUCUUCUCUCUUUAAAGCCUAGAGUGUUUGAUUGUGCUUUGUUCAGGAUCGAAGUUUCCAUAGGACCAAGUUAGACAACAAAUGUAUUUUCCUUGGCUACUCCGCUCAGUCCAAAGAUGUCACUUUCUUUGAGGAGGUCCCUUACUAUGUCUCACAAUCACCUGAACAUGACAAUACUUUUCGUCCCCCUCAAGAGUCCAUUUUUUUACCUGUUUUACCUAUGCCUAUUUUUCCUAUAUCUGCUGCCCAUGAGUCUUCAGUACAAUUUCAUGGGCAGGUUUACACUCGACUCCGACACAUGGAUAAUUUCUCCUGCCACCAUCUUCAACUCCAGGUUCCAACCACCUUCCGCCAACAGGUAUACCUUCUCCUGAUAAAGUUACACCUGAUUCCAUUAUUCAUACUCUUAUACAUGUCCAUGAUUUAGACCUACUAUUGCAAAACGCAAAGGAAAGCGCACAUGUGCUACAAAUCAUCCCAUUGAUAAAUUUACUAGACGCCACUCUAACCACAAGUGUUUAUUCAUCAAAAUACAUCUUGAGUCUCGACUACACACCAUAGUUUUGGUGUAUGUAUAUGAUAUUAUCAUUAUUGAUGAUGACACUCGGACACUCGGUACAUUACAAUUUACAAAGGUUAAGGCAGAUUUGAGUCAGAUAUUUGACAUCAAAGAUUUGGAUUCUCUUUAACAUUUUUUUGGAAUUGAGGUAGCUCGUUCAAGAUAUGGUAUAUCACACUCUCAAAGGAAGUAUAUAUUGGAUUUAUUAUCUAAUACUAGAAUGUUAGGAUGUCAUCCUAUUGACACUCAUACGGAUCCAAAUCAUCCACUUCAUCAAAAAACUAAAGAUCUUCUUCCUGAUCCAGGACGUUACCAAAGACUUGUUGGUCGUCUCAUAUACUUGACUAAUACUCGACCAGAUAUUUCAUUUGUUGUGAGUAUGGUUAGUCAAUUUAUGCACGACCCUCAUUCUACACAUGGAUGCAAUUGAUAGAAUUCUAGGAUAUUUAAGUCUUCCCUGGACUUGAAUUGUUUAAUCCUUCUAAAGGCUUAUCAGAUUUAUUAAGUGUUGGGCACAUGGUCCACCCACUAUUUUGUGGAUAUUGUCCCUACUUAGUCACCAUUAGACCCAAGGCCAUAUCCAUGGUGUGGGGUUUUCCUUCAGGGCUUCUGUUACCCAAAAGACAUCGACAAUAGUGGAUACCAGACAAUUACUUUUAAACCCCUUCGAGAUCUGUUAUGACUCAGAUGUGGGGACUAUUUGGUCCACACACAACAAUCUCCACCUUGGACCAAAUCUCGGCCAAGCACGCCGAAUCAAGCUGUGGGCUUUGAUAGCAUUUGUUGGGCCCAUAGUCCACCCACUAUUCUAUGAAUAUUGUCCCCACUUAGUCACCACUAGGCCCAAGGCCAUAUCCAUGGUGUGGGGUUUUUUCUAUGGGCUUUUAUUACCCAAAUGGCCUCGAUAAUAGCAGGUACCGGACCAUUACUUAUAAACUCCUUAGAGAUCUGUUAUAGCUCGGAUGUAGUUAUUAUUCUUAUCCGCUCGGUUGAUCAAUUAACAGAUAUGUUCACCAAAUCCUUGAGAUUUACAGUUCUUCGUUCGAAUGUGGUCAAGCAAGGAUUGAUAGAUAUCUUCUCUUGCUUGAGGGGGAGUAUUGGAACUAAAGCUAUUUUAGUAGUCUUAUAUUGUAACCUAAGGGUAUUUAGUCUUUGACGUUAUAUAUAUACACAUAUAUAUAUAUAUACUAUGUGAAUAUGCACGUGUCCAGACGCGUGACAAAAAAGAAAAUAUUUUAGUUUUUUCAUGGUAAAAAUAAUUUAGUGAUCUGUAUUAAAAUGCCGAUUACAUAAAAUAUGUAAUUGGUUGAGUUAUCGGGCUAUUCACUCAAUAAUUGUAUCAUAGAUGGACUUGGGUUAUGUAAUACCAAUUAAAUACGUCACUAAGGCCCAACCCAUAAAAUAUAGCCCAGCUGUGGAGAUCCAAAGAAAGGAUAAUUUGGUAUUUACAAAUAAAAGCAAUGGCAAUUUUGUAACAUAGAUAAAGACAUGGCAUAAAACUAUGCUAUCACCUGAACCAAAAGUAUAAGGAGUUAAGGACCCCUCUAAAAAUUUGAAAAGCAAAUACACAGAUGACAGAACAAAUAAAUCAUAAAUUAGUAUUAUGUAAGACAGGUGUCAAUGUAUGAUAGGCAGUACCGAAGUUGAACCAAGUUUCAUUGUAGCUAUAUAUAUUUGAGAUAUCAUAACAUUCACUCAUCUUCGACUUUAGGAACAAUAUAAGCAGAAAAAAGCUCCAUGUGUUUAGACUUUCAGUUUUUGGCAAGAUUUCGACACAUUUGUGAACCUAAAUGGUUUAAGAUAGACCUCGCCAGGAAAUGGUUUAGGUCACUUUCUUUUUUUGUUUUACAUUCCCUUGUCCCAGUGUGACACAGUUGAAGAAAUGCUUAAUUGGUCUUUUUAAUCGGUAAUUAUUUAUUAAUUUCCUACACAUUUUUGUAAUUUUUGAGCAUGUUUGUUUAUGAAAUAUUUUUUAAUAUGUUAUGCCCCUUCCAUGUGUCAAUUUUUGACAAAACCGAUGAGAAUUUUGAUAUUUCAUAUAAAUGGAUACCUUGUAUAGUUGUAUAUUGCAUACGUCUAGUGCUUUGUUUUUUGUGUAUAGUGUUGGUUGAGUUCAAAUAGCUCUGGUUGUUUUUCUUUUCUUAGCUGAAUUACGCUUUUAAUAAUUUGAAAAGCAAGUUUUACACCAACAUAAAAAGGGUCCGUGAAGAAGAACCUCACCACCACAGUAAUACAAAAAAUUAAAACACCAUUACAGAUUACAUAUGAUAAAGAGUAUGUUGUUCCUUCCCCGAUAACGAUCAUCUCCUCACAAGUCACAAUACACAUUUUUUUUUUUUUUAAGAUUAAGAUUCCUUGAUUCCCCGAGACUCCACCCAGCUUUGGUUGUAUGUGAGCAUAAUUGCUUAUCUUUGAAAGCUAUUAUAGUAUACUGAAAAAAUGUUUGAACACUUUUUAGAAAAUUCCUUGGAGAUUAUUAACUUACCAAGUACUUAAUUUACUUAAUUUAGCAUGUACAGAGAAUUCUAUUAACUUAGAGAGAUUAUUAACAAAUCAAGGUCAAAUCAAGAAUUGUAAAUUUCCAUUAAAACAUGUUGUAAUUGACUAGAAAUUGAUCAUUGAAAUAAAAAGAAAAUGAACAAAUUGAGGUUAACAACCAUUGUUAAACUAAAUCCCAUUAACUGAAAUUAGGGACUUGUUUUAACUCAAUUGAGCACAACUGUGUUAAUUGUUCUACGGUCACAUACUAAAAUAUAAAAAUCAAAAUACAAAACAUUAAACCCACACAGAAACACAUACCGAUAUAUAAAAAUCUGGUAAAUCAUUGAUUCUGUAAAUCUGAUUGAUGAUCUCCUCAGAUUUCUCCUUUUUCUUUUUCAAAGGAAUAAAAAGGAAAAUUGUAGUACUUGUUUCUUCUUCCAUUUGUUUCUCUGUAAAUCAGGGAAAGCUAUUACAACUAACAACUUCUCUUCAGUCCUCACAGAAACCCUAAAGACAGCGGCGUUGAGAUCAUUUUCAGCUUAAAUAUCAAAGUUAUGGGCCUGACUGACUAAUAUUGCCCUUUUUUUCUAUCGCUAUCAAUAGGCCAAAACCCAAUAGGAUCCGAUCCAAUAUACUUUACAAUCAGUUGAGCUUCGAGGGGAUUGUCAUCUUCAUGACCAUGUUCUUG
This 18839-nucleotide long non-coding RNA is filed under the name Aquilegia coerulea. RNAcentral's name for it is "long non-coding RNA (ACOE_LNC001674)". The record is from RNAcentral. Lineage: Eukaryota; Viridiplantae; Streptophyta; Magnoliopsida; Ranunculales; Ranunculaceae.